UAUUGCCAUCUCCACUUCAAACUUCUCUAUACAAGCUUUCUUUUUUAACAAAAUGUUGCAGUAAGCAGUUGAGCCAAUUGAACAUGGAUACUUUAGUCGAUGCAUAUUGUCGACUAAACGAAAGCAUAUGGUACAUGCUCGUCGGAGCAUCUCUAAAUCAUACCCUAGUGAAGCCAGAAUACCGGUUUAAGUGUUGCUGGCAAGGCACUAGCCUUUGCAUCAUCGCAACGAGACUUGAAACCUUAACAUGGGAUGCAUCCAA
This 262-nucleotide unclassified non-coding RNA is filed under the name Hevea brasiliensis (rubber tree). Lineage: Eukaryota; Viridiplantae; Streptophyta; Magnoliopsida; Malpighiales; Euphorbiaceae. The record is from RNAcentral.